This 435-nucleotide ribosomal RNA is filed under the name uncultured Roseburia sp. RNAcentral's name for it is "partial 16S ribosomal RNA". It matches the Rfam family "Bacterial small subunit ribosomal RNA", at positions 341 to 792 of the family's 1533-position model. Lineage: Bacteria; Bacillati; Bacillota; Clostridia; Lachnospirales; Lachnospiraceae. The record is from RNAcentral.
ACGGAAGGCAGCAGUGGGGAAUAUUGCACAAUGGGCGAAAGCCUGAUGCAGCGACGCCGCGUGAGUGAAGAAGUAUUUCGGUAUGUAAAGCUCUAUCAGCAGGGAAGAAAAAUGACGGUACCUGACUAAGAAGCACCGGCUAAAUACGUGCCAGCAGCCGCGGUAAUACGUAUGGUGCAAGCGUUAUCCGGAUUUACUGGGUGUAAAGGGAGCGCAGGCGGUACGGCAAGUCUGAUGUGAAAGCCCGGGGCGCAACCCCGGUACUGCAUUGGAAACUGUCGAACUAGAGUGUCGGAGGGGUAAGCGGAAUUCCUAGUGUAGCGGUGAAAUGCGUAGAUAUUAGGAGGAACACCAGUGGCGAAGGCGGCUUACUGGACGAUAACUGACGCUGAGGCUCGAAAGCGUGGGGAGCAAACAGGAUUAGAUACCCUGGUA